This 495-nucleotide ribosomal RNA is filed under the name uncultured bacterium. RNAcentral's name for it is "partial 16S ribosomal RNA". It matches the Rfam family "Bacterial small subunit ribosomal RNA", at positions 28 to 507 of the family's 1533-position model. The record is from RNAcentral.
GACGAACGCUGGCGGCGUGCCUAAUACAUGCAAGUAGAACGCUGAAGGAGGAGCUUGCUUCUCUGGCUGAGUGGCGAACGGGUGAGUAACGCGUAGGUAACCUGCCCGGUAGUGGGGGAUAACUAUUGGAAACGAUAGCUAAUACCGCAUAAGAGUAGAUGUUGCAUGACAUUUGCUGAAAAGUUGCAACUGCAUCACUACCAGGAGGCGCUGCGUUGUAUUAGCGUGGUGGGGGGGUAACGGCUCCCCAAGGCGACGAGACAGAGGCGGCGUGAGAGGGGGGUCGGCCCCCCUUGGACUGGGACCCCGCCCCGACUCCUUCGGGGAGCAACCAGAGGGAAUCUUUGGCCAUGGGCCGAAGUCUGACCGCACCACGCCGCGUGAGUUGAGAAGGGCUUCGGGUCGUAAAGCUCUGUUUUUAGGGAAGAACGAGUGUGAGAGUGGAAAGUUCACGCUGUGACGGUAUCUUACCAGAAAGCAACGGCUAACUACGUG